RNAcentral lists this unclassified non-coding RNA (756 nucleotides) under Hevea brasiliensis (rubber tree). Lineage: Eukaryota; Viridiplantae; Streptophyta; Magnoliopsida; Malpighiales; Euphorbiaceae. The record is from RNAcentral.
GGAGGAAGAAGAAGAAGAAAGAGAUGAAGCACAAUAAUCAAAGUAGUGAUUUUUCCUAAAUGGUUCUCUCUGACGAAGUCAGCUUGAGGAGGGCAUAUGAAGCAUUACAUGUUUCCAAGCUUCUAAAGGCCUUGAGAAAAUACAAUUCAAGUUGCAAGAAUAUGUUGCUACAUCUAGAAAUGCUGCUGGCAGUGGGAGAGUACAGCAUCUUGUCGACCUCUAAAAUACUCAUGCAACACAUGAUAAUUGUGCAAGAAUAUAUGUGAAAUUCUGUAUCACAUGCAUGCAGCACAUGUACUAAUGCAUUGUACAAGAUCAAAAUUGAAACAAGCUACCUAUUUAAAAAACAAAAAGAAAAAAAUUCAACAACCACAUAGUCACAGUAAUAGGUGAGCAAACAAAAUGGGAAGGAACUAAUCAUAUAAGAAAGCAAGCCUGCUUCUUUUGAUAAGAAAAUGGAAUACGCAAGGCAUUGAUUUACAAAAAAUGAGAUACUGUAAUAGCAGAAUUGCCCAACAUGCAAAAAAUGGCAUGAGGGACACAAACUAGAAACAAUUAAGAGGAACAUUAGAUUGAUAAACAUUGCACACUUCAAUGCACAUAUAAUUGACAGAGGCUGACCUGAAGUUCCUGCUCACAACUCUUAAGUCUUUCAGAGUUUUCUUUAACUUGCAGAAAACAUUUAUGCAGCUUGGUCAAUUGCAUCUUAUUGUGUGAAGUGCGCUUCUUUGCAGCAAUCAAUGCAUCCUCCAGUUU